This 90-nucleotide transfer RNA is filed under the name bacterium. RNAcentral's name for it is "tRNA-Ser". It matches the Rfam family "tRNA". From Rfam's summary of the family: Transfer RNA (tRNA) molecules are approximately 80 nucleotides in length. Their secondary structure includes four short double-helical elements and three loops (D, anti-codon, and T loops). Further hydrogen bonds mediate the characteristic L-shaped molecular structure. tRNAs have two regions of fundamental functional importance: the anti-codon, which is responsible for specific mRNA codon recognition, and the 3' end, to which the tRNAs corresponding amino acid is attached (by aminoacyl-tRNA synthetases). tRNAs cope with the degeneracy of the genetic code in two manners: having more than one tRNA (with a specific anti-codon) for a particular amino acid; and 'wobble' base-pairing, i.e. permitting non-standard base-pairing at the 3rd anti-codon position. The record is from RNAcentral.
GGAAGCGUGGCUGAGUGGUUGAAGGCACCGGUUUCGAAAACCGGCAUAGGCGCAAGCCUAUCAGAGGUUCAAAUCCUCUCGCUUCCGCCA